RNAcentral lists this ribosomal RNA (301 nucleotides) under uncultured bacterium. Its description in RNAcentral is "partial 16S ribosomal RNA". It matches the Rfam family "Bacterial small subunit ribosomal RNA", at positions 509 to 807 of the family's 1533-position model. The record is from RNAcentral.
CAGUAGCCGCGGUAAUACGGAGGGGGCUAGCGUUGUUCGGAAUUACUGGGCGUAAAGCGCACGUAGGCGGCUUGGUAAGUUAGAGGUGAAAGCCCGGAGCUCAACUCCGGAAUUGCCUUUAAGACUGCCGAGCUAGUAGGUGAGAGAGGUAAGUGGAAUUCCGAGUGUAGAGGUGAAAUUCGUAGAUAUUCGGAAGAACACCAGUGGCGAAGGCGGCUUACUGGCUCAUUCUAGACGCUGAGGUGCGAAAGCGUGGGGAGCAAACAGGAUUAGAGACCCCCGUAGUCCCUGUCUCUUAUAC